Long non-coding RNA from Sinocyclocheilus rhinocerous, 346 nucleotides. RefSeq lists it as uncharacterized. The record is from RefSeq and is a predicted model, not a curated record. NCBI's taxonomy places the organism in Eukaryota, Metazoa, Chordata, Actinopteri, Cypriniformes, Cyprinidae. The transcript is spliced from 2 exons.
AGACUCUACAUGAAAAUCUGUCGUCACAGAUCAACGCUUUCAAUUGAGCUCAUAAACAAACAGCAGUGUAACACUGGAAUGAUUCUGGCUUAGGGUGACCUAUGGCUCCAAGACUGCCACAAAGCACAACCUCUCCAAAAUCCACCCCUGAUGAAGACAACGAUGAGGAAGAGGAUGGAGGAUUAAGAGAAAUCUGAGUGCCAUUCCUCAGCCUUACCCACGAUCCCCUUCUACUGACUCUACCCUGAUUUUACAGUCAGACGUCUCGCCAACAAUGAAAAACAAAUGUAGAAACAUCCCUGCAUGUUUGAUGAUGCAAUCCGGACAAUAAAAGGAAUUAAAAAUG